Molecule: long non-coding RNA, 471 nt
Organism: Zophobas morio
Lineage: Eukaryota; Metazoa; Arthropoda; Insecta; Coleoptera; Tenebrionidae
Exons: 3
Source: RefSeq, a predicted model, not a curated record
UAAAUAUUUACCGAAAGCCUUAUAUAAGGCAUAGUGCUUUUGAUUUCGCACUUAUUUUGGAUCUAUUGUCAAAAGUGAGAGAGCUACUAGUUGUAUUGAAACAAACAGGGACGGCCGCGGUUGAAAUGUCAGACUCAGCUCUCAAGUUUUAAUAAGCACCACGUGGACUAUCUAGUGGAGAAGGUCGAGGCAGCAACUACGGCGCUUUACCCUUUACUAACGGGAAGCGCAAGCUUUCUUUGCGAAACAAACGGUAAUUGUGUAUGUCUUACAUCCAGCCAACAAUGACAUACGCGUCUGCUGCUUGGACCUACGUCCCCAUCGCAUGAGAGCGCUCCAAGUACUACAAAACAAAUUUCUGCGAGCGAUGACAAACACGCCAUGGUUUGCGCGAAAUGUAGCUCUUAACCAGGACCUUUAGCUGGACACUUUAGACGUCGUUUUCCAACGUAAAGCCAACGCGCUUUACGA